Long non-coding RNA from Helianthus annuus (common sunflower), 1351 nucleotides. RefSeq lists it as uncharacterized. The record is from RefSeq and is a predicted model, not a curated record. Lineage: Eukaryota; Viridiplantae; Streptophyta; Magnoliopsida; Asterales; Asteraceae. The transcript has 2 exons.
CUUCCUAUAUGCUUGUUGAAAUCAUUAAACUUUAAAGUGACCUCAGUUUGACGUGUAUUAUUAUUCUUGUUUAGGAUUUAAGGUUACAACGAUUUGUGCUGUUUAAAAUAGGCCUGCAAGUUAGCGGGUUCUUAUUAACUUUCAAGAAAAUAUAAUACACAGCAGUUAACAACUCCCAGACGAAGCUAGAGAGCUCGAGAAAGAACUCAGGCAGAUAACAAAAGCAAAGAACGAAGCUGUUUGUGGCCAAGAUUUCGAAAGGUACUGUGCUUGUUCUUGUGAAUUUUAUAGAUGUGACAACUUGACCCAUUUACUUUUGAAUGGGUUGAUUUAGGGUUAUGUUUUAUGAGUUAAGUUCCCGUAAAAAUAAAAUAAACGUACGAAACGUACGAAUUGAAAGAAAAGUAAAAAAAGUGACGUACGAAUUGAAAGAAAAGUCAAAAAAGUGGCGGUGUCAUUUUGGUAAUUUUGGUAAUUAGCAACUUCAAAUUAGAAGGUUAUUUCGGGUCUUUCACCAUAUUUCGGGUACAUGUGUUUCACCAUAUUCCUGAUGUGUUUCGGGUACACGUGUUUUGAACAUAUUCCUGAUGUAUUUCGGGUACAUGUGUUUCACCAUAUUUCGGGUUCCUGAUGUAGAGGUUUUACCCAUAUGACCCAUUUCUUUUAAGCUACUUAUGACCCGUUAGAGAUAAAACAUAACCCAGGUGGACCUACUUAUAAGAGUCAAAACUGUCUGAUGUGAAGUUUCUGUUCUUUGUUGUGGGGCGUAGGGGCAACCAUCCGAUAUCAACCAAUAUUAUACCAUCUUCACAUGGUGGAAACGAAUAUGGAAGGAUUGCAUGAUGGUUACAGUUUGAAAUUUUAUAUAGAAAAUAUGGACUCUAAGGAAGGAAUGUUGUGAUGAUAACUGGUAGUUGAAGUAUGACUUAUGGAUGUGCAUUCAUAGUGAUUUUUUUUAUUUAAGACUUAUGAAACUGGUCUACAACCGGCGGUUUGGUUCGGUUCUAAAACCGGUUAUAAAAAACUGAUUUUGGUUUUUUUCUCGGUUUCAAUUCUAAAACCAGUUUUUUGGUACACCUCUAGGAGGAAUGACCGAACAAAACAUUUUGAAAGUAAUCUAGCAGUAGUACUUCCCUGAACACAAGAAAGCUUGAUGAAGAGACUGAAUCUCUCCCGUUAGUUUUCGCAUGUCAUUUCGUCCUUUAAAGUUUUGUUGUUUUUAUGUUCAAGUUAGUUAGUUUUUUGUUCAUGUUAAGCAUGUAGACAUGUUGGAUGUUCAGACCACCCGAGUUGUAUUGAUUUAUGUAAUAGGCAACAUAUAAUGUAUUGAUUUUACAUAUUCUUGUAUAUU